RNAcentral lists this ribosomal RNA (221 nucleotides) under uncultured eukaryote. Its description in RNAcentral is "partial 18S ribosomal RNA". It matches the Rfam family "Eukaryotic small subunit ribosomal RNA", at positions 1299 to 1453 of the family's 1831-position model. The record is from RNAcentral.
UGGUGGAGUGAUUUGUCUGGUUGAUUCCGUUAACGAACGAGACCUCAGCCUGCUAAAUAGUUAUGCGAAUCUCUCACUCAAGGUUAGCAGACGGGUGUGGCUUGGGCCUCUCCCUCGGGAGGGGAUUCUCCAUGGCUGCAUGUCUGGAAGCGCCUGAAUAGAUUCGCAGAGCAACUUCUUAGAGGGACUAAUGGUGUUUAGCCAUUGGAAGUUUGAGGCAA